Long non-coding RNA from Cryptomeria japonica (Japanese cedar), 889 nucleotides. RefSeq lists it as uncharacterized. The transcript has 6 exons. Lineage: Eukaryota; Viridiplantae; Streptophyta; Pinopsida; Cupressales; Cupressaceae. The record is from RefSeq and is a predicted model, not a curated record.
AAAUUGCAAGUUUUUAUGUCACUUAUCAAUUAAAUAUUAUUUGCUGCUCUGUGAUUGGAGUUUGGUUUGUCUCCAGAUUGUCAGAGGCUUGUGCAGCAUUAAAAAGGCAAGAGAAGGCGUGAAAACCUAGUCUUUAAUUUUCUAUUUGCAGGACCUGAGGCAAGAGAAGGCGUGAAAACCUAGUCUUUAAGUUUUUUUUGGAAUGUGUGGCCUUUAAGUUUUUUUUGGAAUGUGUGGCAUUUGCAGGACCUGAUGCGUGAAAACCUAGUCUUUAAGUUUUUUUUUGAAAUGUGUGGCAUUGCAGGACCUGGUGCAGAAUAUACAGGUAAUGAAUGGUUUGUUUACUAAUAGAGAUGCUAGCAGUGUCUGCUUGCAGAGGAGAUGCGAAAGAGAUUGAAGCAGCAGCUGUAGAGUGACCGAGCCAGCUGAAGGAAGAAUAAAUGAUGUAAACAGGCAAGUCAAUUUUUGGUCUCGUGGCGUACAAUCUUUCAUGGAUGAGAACUUUCAAGUUGUAGACUACGCAUCAGCUAAUUUUCAAGCAAAUCAUAUCGGCAGGUGUGGGAUUGUGUUCAAGAGCAGAGACAGCGAAGGUGAAAUUUUCAGAAGUUCGAUUGGAAUGUGUAGAUCACGACAAUAGCAUUACUCCUCUUCAAAAGCAUGUAGCAUUAUUUGACCGCAACAAGGACAAGAUCGUUUAUCCUUGGGAAGCUUAUAAGGUACAAUCUCUGGGAUUAUUUUGGUUUUUUAAAUGAAUGAAUGAUCUGGAAUUUUAUGGGAUAUCAAGAAAUUAGAAAUAAAAGAUAGUAUAUUGCAACACUGAGUUUCAAUACUAGUAGUAGACCGAUUAAUUUAAACAUUAUUCUGAAAUAAAGAGGGAAAUCGAAUUAUC